GGUAGUGUAUUGGACAACCAUGGCUCUCACGGGUAACGGGGAAUUAGGGUUCGAUUCCGGAGAAGGAGCCUGAGAAACGGCUACUACAUCUACGGAAGGCAGCAGGCGCGUAAAUACCCAAUCCUGACUCAGGGAGGUAGUGACAAGAUAUAACGACGCGACUAAAAAUCGCGAUUGUAGUGAGGGUAUUCCAAACCGAACCACUAGUACGAUUGGAGGGCAAGUCUGGUGCCAGCAGCCGCGGUAAUUCCAGCUCCAAUAGCGUAUAUUAAAGUUGUUGCAGUUAAAAAGCUCGUAGUUGGAUUUCAAGAGACGCAGCGUGGAUAACACGUCUGCCCUCUACCAGUCUUAGACUGUUACUGUGAGAAAAUUAGAGUGUUUCAAGCAGGCUGUUGCAGGAAUACAUUAGCAUGGAAUAACGAGUGUGUCUAGAAUCUUGGUUAAUUCUAGAUUACGAUUAAUAGGGACAGUUGGGGGCAUUAGUAUUUAAUUGUCAGAGGUGAAAUUCUUGGAUUUGUUAAAGACUAACGUAUGCGAAAGCAUUUGCCAAGGAUGUUUUCA
Molecule: ribosomal RNA, 561 nt
Filed under: uncultured ciliate
Lineage: Eukaryota; Ciliophora
Description: SSU rRNA
Rfam family: Eukaryotic small subunit ribosomal RNA
Source: RNAcentral